RNAcentral lists this long non-coding RNA (407 nucleotides) under Salvia miltiorrhiza (redroot sage). Its description in RNAcentral is "long non-coding RNA (SMIL_LNC003707)". The record is from RNAcentral. Lineage: Eukaryota; Viridiplantae; Streptophyta; Magnoliopsida; Lamiales; Lamiaceae.
CAAAUUCCAGAGUCUCCGUCUCCGCCUCCCGCCCUGCUGUUCCAGAGAAUCUCCGGCCUCCCACCCAGCGCCCCUCGCCCGCCCGCCGUUCCCGUCUCCUCGACGUCGCGACCCUCGCCAAUCGCCCCCAGAUCCGAGACCCUUGCUCAGUCGCCCAGCCGUUUCCGAUACCCUCGACCCUCGCCAGUCGUUCCCGUCGUUCCGCCGCCGCCUACGACUUCGCCCCGCAGCAGCCGGCCGCACCGCCUCCGAGCUCCAACAGGCGCUGCUGCUUCUUCUUCUUCCUCUUUUUUUUUUUAAAUAAACAUAUAUGCUUUUUUUUUGUCUUGGUUUGAGAAUUGAGCAAAAAAAAUGAAAUUCUGUACAGAUUUGAAAGUUGCUACAAAUCGACGGUGGGGGUUGAAUUU